GACGAACGCUGGCGGCGUGCUUAACACAUGCAAGUCGAACGGAAAGGCCCUGCUUUUGUGGGGUGCUCGAGUGGCGAACGGGUGAGUAACACGUGAGUAACCUGCCCCUGACUUUGGGAUAACUCCAGGAAACUCGGGCUAAUACCGGAUAGGAUCUCCUGCUGCAUGGUGGGGGUUGGAAAGUUUCGGCGGUUGGGGAUGGACUCGCUGCUUAUCCGCUUGUUGGUGGGGUAGGGGCUUACAAAGGCUUCGACGGGUAGCCGGCCUGGGAGGGUGACCGGCCACAUUGGGACUGAGAGACGGCCCAGACUGCUACGGGAGGCAGCAGUGGGGAAUAUUGCACAAUGGGCGGAAGUCUGAUGCAGCAACGUCGCGUGCGGGAUGACGGCCUUCGGGUUGUAAACCGCUGUCGCCUGUGACGAAGCGUGAGUGACGGUAAUGGGUAAAGAAGCACCGGCUAACUACGUG
RNAcentral lists this ribosomal RNA (468 nucleotides) under uncultured bacterium. Its description in RNAcentral is "partial 16S ribosomal RNA". It matches the Rfam family "Bacterial small subunit ribosomal RNA", at positions 28 to 507 of the family's 1533-position model. The record is from RNAcentral.